UUAGCCUUAUCUGUAUGCAUUUACACGAAUUGAAAAGAGAAUCCGUUUAUUGGAAAAACUGAUCCACCAAAUUCUUGAUUCCAUUUAUCGGCGGAAUCGUCGCCGGCCACCACCGCCAACGUGGUGCCCAAAAGAGAACUCAAAAUCAAACCCAAAAGAAAACCCAGAAAAUCGAACCAAAAAGAGAACCCAGAAAAUGAAACCCAAAAAAGGGCACGACCAGGCAUCGGCCUUCUUGCUGUCGUAGUCCUUGCGGGAGACGACCUCCGGUGCGAACGAGGCCAUCGAUUUUGUGCUCAAAAAUGGCGGAGAGACCUCGCGGGAUACGGCGUCCACGGUGGCGGCCGAGGAGGCGACUGAGCUGAUAUUUGUUUGGGGCCAAGGGCGGCCGAGCUACUGCUGUCGAUGCUGGUGGUUCAGCGGAUUUGGGUGGCAGAGAAGGGCGUAGGAUAGGGGAUCAUUUGACUGGGAGUGGGUCUAGGUUUAAUAGGUAAGAUUAGGGGUGGUUUAAUUAAAUAUUAAUCAAUUCCUAAUUUUAACCAAAAAAGAAAAUGUGUCUUUAAUAAUGGGACAACCCAAUAAGGAAAGUGUGUCUUAAAUAAUGGGACAUGGUGAGUAAUAUAUUUAUGUUUCCAUUUUUUAUUUUGGCCCUCUAACAUAUGUACCUACCCAUUUUUUGAUUUUAG
Molecule: long non-coding RNA, 686 nt
Filed under: Salvia miltiorrhiza (redroot sage)
Lineage: Eukaryota; Viridiplantae; Streptophyta; Magnoliopsida; Lamiales; Lamiaceae
Description: long non-coding RNA (SMIL_LNC002377)
Source: RNAcentral